AGUGGCGGACGGGUGAGUAACACGUGGGAACGUGCCUUUAGGUUCGGAAUAAGCCCGGGAAACUGGGUCUAAUACCGGAUGUGCCCUUCGGGGGAAAGAUUUAUCGCCUUUAGAGCGGCCCGCGUCUGAUUAGCUAGUUGGUGGUGUAAUGGACCACCAAGGCGACGAUCAGUAGCUGGUCUGAGAGGAUGAUCAGCCACAUUGGGACAGAGACACGGCCCAAACUCCUACGGGAGGCAGCAGUGGGGAAUCUUGCGCAAUGGGCGAAAGCCUGACGCAGCCAUGCCGCGUGAAUGAUGAAGGUCUUAGGAUUGUAAAAUUCUUUCACCGGGGACGAUAAUGACGGUACCCGGAGAAGAAGCCCCGGCUAACUUCGUGCCAGCAGCCGCGGUAAUACGAAGGGGGCUAGCGUUGCUCGGAAUUACUGGGCGUAAAGGGAGCGUAGGCGGACAUUUAAGUCAGGGGUGAAAUCCCGGGGCUCAACCUCGGAACUGCCUUUGAUACUGGGUGUCUUGAGUGUGAUAGAGGUAUGUGGAACUCCGAGUGUAGAGGUGAAAUUCGUAGAUAUUCGGAAGAACACCAGUGGCGAAGGCGACAUACUGGAUCAUUACUGACGCUGAGGCUCGAAAGCGUGGGGAGCAAACAGGAUUAGAUACCCUGGUAGUCCACGCCGUAAACGAUGAUUGCUAGUUGUCGGGG
RNAcentral lists this ribosomal RNA (699 nucleotides) under uncultured Brevundimonas sp. Its description in RNAcentral is "bacterial SSU rRNA". It matches the Rfam family "Bacterial small subunit ribosomal RNA", at positions 94 to 828 of the family's 1533-position model. The record is from RNAcentral. Lineage: Bacteria; Pseudomonadati; Pseudomonadota; Alphaproteobacteria; Caulobacterales; Caulobacteraceae.